Molecule: ribosomal RNA, 660 nt
Filed under: Trichormus anomalus RPAN34
Lineage: Bacteria; Bacillati; Cyanobacteriota; Cyanophyceae; Nostocales; Nostocaceae
Also listed under: 6 other names
Description: bacterial SSU rRNA
Rfam family: Bacterial small subunit ribosomal RNA
Source: RNAcentral
ACGGGUGAGUAACGCGUGAGAAUCUAGCUUCAGGUCGGGGACAACCACUGGAAUCGGUGGCUAAUACCGGAUGUGCCGAAAGGUGAAAGAUUUAUUGCCUGAAGAUGAGCUAGCGUCUGAUUAGCUAGUUGGUGUGGUAAGAGCGCACCAAGGCGACGAUCAGUAGCUGGUCUGAGAGGAUGAUGAGCCACACUGGGACUGAGACACGGCCCAGACUCCUACGGGAGGCAGCAGUGGGGAAUUUUCCGCAAUGGCCGAAAGCCUGACGGAGCAAUACCGCGUGAGGGAGGAAGGCUCUUGGGUUGUAAACCUCUUUUCUCAGGGAAUAAAAAAAUGAAGGUACCUGAGGAAUAAGCAUCGGCUAACUCCGUGCCAGCAGCCGCGGUAAUACGGAGGAAGCAAGCGUUAUCCGGAAUGAUUGGGCGUAAAGCGUCCGCAGGUGGCACUGUAAGUCUGCUGUUAAAGAGCAAGGCUCAACCUUGUAAAGGCAGUGGAAACUACAGAGCUAGAGUACGUUCGGGGCAGAGGGAAUUCCUGGUGUAGCGGUGAAAUGCGUAGAGAUCAGGAAGAACACCGGUGGCGAAAGCGCUCUGCUAGGCCGUAACUGACACUGAGGGACGAAAGCUAGGGGAGCGAAUGGGAUUAGAUACCCCAGUAGUC